This is a long non-coding RNA of Aphis gossypii (cotton aphid), 1508 nucleotides long. RefSeq lists it as uncharacterized. The record is from RefSeq and is a predicted model, not a curated record. Lineage: Eukaryota; Metazoa; Arthropoda; Insecta; Hemiptera; Aphididae. The transcript is spliced from 6 exons.
AAAAUUGUAAUUUUCUGAUUAUAGAACUUAUACUCUGAUACGUCCUGAGUAUGAGUGGGUGGCAUAGACAGAUAACGGACUGCACGAUAAAAUUGAAGUCGGCGGCCGUAUGCUAACAGGGCAAUAUUUACAAAAUUUUAUAGUUAUAUGAAAAUAAAUUCGUUAUUUGUAUUAUUAUCAAUAUAGCUAUAUUAUCCAUUGAGUUAUUUUGUAUACAUUGCCCUGUUGGCUUUUUAGCCGCACGACUUCAACUUUCCUAUGGGAAUGUAAUACGCAGUCAGUCCGCUAUCUAGUUGUUUUAAAUGUCUAUGAUGGGCGACGCGGUGACGGUGAAAAGACUGCUUCACGUUUUAAGGAAACCAAUGUUUCCACCUUGGUUAUUUAAUGACCAGAUCUAGUUUAGUUUUAUUGUACAAGGUGUUCACAAAAUGACGUCGGUUUUUGUUACGGCUGUACUAGUUACUAGUUCUGUGCUAGUACUCAUGUCUACUAGUACUACUUGUUGCCUAAACGGCUAUAUCAAUAUUUAAUCGUGUAAUACGUAUUAUACGUAAAUUGUACUAAACAACUUACUGGGGCUUGCAUUGUGUGAUAAAGAAAAUUGUUGUGAGUUGUGGUAGAAGUCGUUGACGAUUGGAAUAAAUCGAUCACAGUUCAUUUGAUUAAAACCACUAUUAUUCAAAAUUACAGUGAACUCAGACUAUGGGUAAGCCACAGUAUAUUAUUCAAAAGUUCCGGAUGGAGCGACUUAAAUAAGGCAUUUUCUGAUUGGUUGAAAGAGAUUCCAGAUGACAACUCAAAAGCGUAUUCGGUGACCGAUGACGGUUAAUAGAGUUUCUACUGUAUAAUAUAGUAAGUUCUAGUUUUGCGGUUUCACAAUACAUUAGCAUCGUCACAAAUAGGUAACGAAGCUGAGCUGGAGUGUCCAAUGUUGCUGAUUCUGCCAUGCAUGACAACAAAGCUUGGUCGUCUUCCAACAGUCCUAUGGCGAAGGCUGCAGCCAGUUAGAUGCUGAACCCCGUCUACUGUCCUCAUGUCGCGGUAAGAGUAGUUUGGAGUAGCGUAUUUACGGGAGGGAUAUGGGAGAUAGAUCCUCCCUUGGUCUUUUUUUACUAAUAAGUUGAAUUAUGUCAUAUAUAUAUGACAGCAUUACAGAAUAAAAUUGUUGAAAACUUUAGAUACACUUUAUUAAAAAUAUAGCAAUGAAUAUUAAUUUAUUAAGAAUUUGGAAAUAUUAUGGUUGAUGCCUUUAGUCUAUAGGUACAUGACUUACUGCUAAAUAUGUAUAUGAUUGAAAAUAAUUUGUAUCGUAAAUCUUAAAAUGCUGUCAAAUGUCAUCAUUGUCAAUAAUGAUCCGGCUAUUAUCAGGCUUCUAAUAAUAGGCGUUUGGUUGCUACUUCAAAACAUUUUGCAGAGCAAAGACUUGUACAUAUAAAUCCGUAUUCUAAACAUUUUUAUAUGUUAAUAAAGUCUGCUUACUUGUACAUAGCACAUAUUUACCAUUUAUG